GGAGGACAUUCAAAAAACACAUGG
Molecule: small RNA, 24 nt
Filed under: Brassica napus (rape)
Lineage: Eukaryota; Viridiplantae; Streptophyta; Magnoliopsida; Brassicales; Brassicaceae
Description: PsRNA_65
Source: RNAcentral